Molecule: ribosomal RNA, 671 nt
Filed under: uncultured Gammaproteobacteria bacterium
Lineage: Bacteria; Pseudomonadati; Pseudomonadota; Gammaproteobacteria
Description: bacterial SSU rRNA
Rfam family: Bacterial small subunit ribosomal RNA
Source: RNAcentral
AGAGUUUGAUCCUGGCUCAGAUUGAACGCUGGCGGCACGCCUAACACAUGCAAGUCGCACGGUAGAUAGAUAGCUUGCUAUUUAUUGAGAGUGGCGGACGGGUGAGUAACGCGUAGGAAUCUGCCUGAUAGACCGGGACAACCUAGGGAAACUUAGGCUAAUACUGGAUACAUUCUGAGGAAGAAAGUCGACACAUAAUUGUGAAGAGCUAUCAGAUGAGCCCGCGUUGGAUUAGCUAGUUGGUUAGGUAAAAGCUAACCAAGGCGACGAUCCAUAGCUGUUCUGAGAGGAAGACCAGCCACACUGGGACUGAGACACGGCCCAGACUCCUACGGGAGGCAGCAGUGGGGGAUAUUGGACAAUGGGGGCAACCCUGAUCCAGCGAUGCCGCGUGUGUGAAGAAGGCCUGCGGGUUGUAAAGCACUUUAAUUGGGGAGGAGGCUAUGCGUGAGCAUAGUAGACGUUACCCAAAGAAUAAGCACCGGCUAACUCUGUGCCAGCAGCCGCGGUAAUACAGAGGGUGCAAGCGUUAAUCGGAAUGACUGGGCGUAAAGGGCGUGUAGGCGGAAGAUAGAGUCAGCUGUGAAAGCCAUGGGCUUAACCUGUGGAGGCCAGCUGAGACCUAUCAUCUAGAGUGUUGAAGANGGUAGUGGAAUUUCCGGUGUAGCGGU